This 85-nucleotide transfer RNA is filed under the name Mycobacterium dioxanotrophicus. RNAcentral describes it as "tRNA-Tyr". It matches the Rfam family "tRNA". From Rfam's summary of the family: Transfer RNA (tRNA) molecules are approximately 80 nucleotides in length. Their secondary structure includes four short double-helical elements and three loops (D, anti-codon, and T loops). Lineage: Bacteria; Bacillati; Actinomycetota; Actinomycetes; Mycobacteriales; Mycobacteriaceae. The record is from RNAcentral. RNAcentral also lists the same sequence under 1 other name.
GCCGGCACGGCGCAGAUGGCGAGGCGCGCCUGACUGUAAAUCAGGUCUCUCGGGUGAGGGGGUUCGAAUCCCUCUGCCGGCACCA